Molecule: ribosomal RNA, 460 nt
Filed under: uncultured bacterium
Lineage: Bacteria
Description: partial 16S ribosomal RNA
Rfam family: Bacterial small subunit ribosomal RNA
Source: RNAcentral
CCUACGGGAGGCAGCAGUGAGGAAUAUUGGUCAAUGGGCGCGAGCCUGAACCAGCCACGUAGCGUGAAGGAUGAAUGCCCUACGGGUUGUAAACUUCUUUUAUAAAGGAAUAAAGUGAGGCACGUGUGCCUUUUUGUAUGUACUUUAUGAAUAAGGAUCGGCUAACUCCGUGCCAGCAGCCGCGGUAAUACGGAGGAUCCGAGCGUUAUCCGGAUUUAUUGGGUUUAAAGGGAGCGUAGAUGGGUUGUUAAGUCAGUUGUGAAAGUUUGCGGCUCAACCGUAAAAUUGCAAUUGAUACUGGCUGUCUUGAGUACAGUUGAGGUAGGCGGAAUUCGUGGUGUAGCGGUGAAAUGCUUAGAUAUCACGAAGAACACCGAUUGCGAAGGCAGCUUACUAAACUGCCACUGACAUUGAUGCUCGAAAGUGUGGGUAUCAAACAGGAUUAGAUACCCCUGUAGUC